AACGGCUGUUUUAAAGAUUAAAUAAAAUGCUUGGAAUAUAUGUAAAAUGCUGAGCAUAUUUGAUUAAUAAAUAAAAUCCAUCAUUAUCAUCAGUCAGUAAAAUGAACAAUCUAUAUUUCAGGCAAUUAAGUCACAUUUGUUCAGUUCAAGGAGUGGAACUUCUGUUUUGCCUUUGAAAAGGCCUUGCAUUCGCUGUUAUCCUUAGAGUGCCUCAUCUCUUCACCUUCCCAUUCGGGGUUAUUUUGCCUUUAGGAAAACCCGGGUGUUAAAUUAGUUCAUUGCAUCACUUACUCUUGAGAAACCGUUAAAUCUGUGUUCCCCUACCAAAGGUGACUUGUCUUCGAAAAUGUCGUUGCCCCGGGGAAGGUAUUUUAUAGGUGUAGGAAACUUUAAGUGGUCACUUAGGACUUCGAAAUAAGUACGGCCUGAGGCCAGGAGGAGAAAGCAGUGCCCUCAACACUGCUGUAAACGCGCAUUUGUAGUCAACCUAUUAAAAAGACCCAGCACCAUAUGGAUGUCUCACGGAUUACAACUCUCUACUAUAGUGGCACUUUCUUUGUUGAGGGCAGAAUGGCAGAAGGAAGAGAAAAGGAGAUUGUGGAAGGAAACUCCAACAGUUUAUGACGAUGAUCUCUACUAGAGCUUACAAGUCAGUGCGAAUAUGGAGAAGGAGACUAUAAUCAAUUUCCCUACGAGCUUCAGAAAGGGCGUGAUUUUGGGAUUAAUAGACACAGAAUUCCUCAAACAUUUUCUAAAUAAAGGGCCUAGAAGAAAUAAGAAAAAUUCUGGCAGCAAACUAUUUUAUUACUUUAAGAAUAAUGAAGAACAGUUUCCUUUUCUUUCUCUGAAGGAUGUGUACAUGUACACCUGGAAAACUAUCCAUAACCUAUUCCUGGAGGGGAAGUAUUUCUCUCACUUCACGAAAAUAUAUAGGUACAUUUAAAAAAAGACUUCACUCAAUUUCAGUCACCUUAUUUAAUAGCCUAACAUUAAUUUGGUCCACAUUGAUGUAAAGAAGAAAUACUUAUAAUAUUCUCAUAAUUUGCUGAGUUAAUAUGGACUUUUAGUUAAAGGCUAAAUGUUUCACUUAGCAAGUGAAUUCAUUUAUAUAGCCAUAAAGCCAAUAAAUUCUUUAUUAAAAAUUCUAUGUAUGAUAUUUAGUGAAAAAGAUCAAGCUGCAUUAGUUAUGUACAAGAAAUUAA
This 1202-nucleotide long non-coding RNA is filed under the name Equus caballus (horse). Its description in RNAcentral is "lncRNA (ENSECAG00000047562.1)". The record is from RNAcentral. Lineage: Eukaryota; Metazoa; Chordata; Mammalia; Perissodactyla; Equidae.